RNAcentral lists this ribosomal RNA (406 nucleotides) under Chiasmocleis shudikarensis group sp. ABGD cluster 25. RNAcentral describes it as "partial large subunit ribosomal RNA". It matches the Rfam family "Bacterial large subunit ribosomal RNA", at positions 1834 to 2457 of the family's 2925-position model. Lineage: Eukaryota; Metazoa; Chordata; Amphibia; Anura; Microhylidae. The record is from RNAcentral.
CCUGAAAGAUUAUAGGAGGUCCAGCCUGCCCAGUGAUAAAAUUAAACGGCCGCGGUACCCUAACCGUGCGAAGGUAGCGCAAUCACUUGUUCUUUAAAUGAGGACUAGUAUGAACGGCAUCACGAGGAUUAUACUGUCUCCCUUCUUUAAUCAGUGAAACUGAUCCCCCCGUGAAGAAGCGGGAAUAAACAUAUAAGACGAGAAGACCCUAUGGAGCUUUAAACUUAACACCACUUAUCUAAAACACUUCAUAAUAAACAGAUAAGCUUGUGCGCAUUUUAGGUUGGGGUGACCGCGGAGUAAAAUUUAACCUCCACGUUGAAAGGCCUUUAUCCUUAUCCAAGAGCCACAUCUCCAAGAAUCAACAAAUUGACAUUUAUUGACCCAAAUUUUUUGAUCAACGAAC